AGAGUUGAUCAUGGCUCAGGAUGAACGCUGGCGGCGUGUCUAAGGCAUGCAAGUCGAACGAUUGUCCAACUCUUUGGUUCUUUAAGAAAAAAAUGGGGCGAGGAAAACAAAAAAAGCAACGAGGAAAAUAUUAUAAAUAUUAAAAACUCCUCAGUAGGUUGCUUUUCCUCGUCCCCUUAUAAAUUUUAAUUUUUAAAGGAAUCAGAGAGUUGGACAAGAGUGGCAAACGGGUGAGUAACACAUUGGUAAUCUGCCCCUUUCUCAAACAUAACUCGUCGAAAGGCGGGCUAAUAUUUGAUAGUCUUGCGUUUCGCAAGAAGCGUAAGUAAAGGAUAUCGCAAGAUAUUUGGAAAGGGAGGAACCUAUGGUCUAUCAGUUAGUUGGCAGGGUAAUGGCCUACCAAGACGAUGACGGAUAGCGGGCGUGAGAGCGCGACCCGCCUCAAGGGGACUGAG
Molecule: ribosomal RNA, 455 nt
Filed under: uncultured bacterium
Lineage: Bacteria
Description: bacterial SSU rRNA
Rfam family: Bacterial small subunit ribosomal RNA
Source: RNAcentral